This 495-nucleotide ribosomal RNA is filed under the name uncultured bacterium. Its description in RNAcentral is "partial 16S ribosomal RNA". It matches the Rfam family "Bacterial small subunit ribosomal RNA", at positions 28 to 507 of the family's 1533-position model. The record is from RNAcentral.
GACGAACGCUGGCGGCGUGCCUAAUACAUGCAAGUAGAACGCUGAAGGAGGAGCUUGCUUCUCUGGAUGAGUUGCGAACGGGUGAGUAACGCGUAGGUAACCUGCCUGGUAGCGGGGGAUAACUAUUGGAAACGAUAGCUAAUACCGCAUAAGAGUAGAUGUUGCAUGACAUUUGCUUAAAAGUUGCAAUUGCAUCACUACCAGAUGGACCUGCGUUGUAUUAGCUAGUUGGUGGGGUAACGGCUCACCAAGGCGACGAUACAUAGCCGACCUGAGAGGGGGAUCGGCCACACUGGGACUGAGACACGGCCCAGACUCCUACGGGAGGCAGCAGUAGGGAAUCUUCGGCAAUGGACGGAAGUCUGACCGAGCAACGCCGCGUGAGUGAAGAAGGUUUUCGGAUCGUAAAGCUCUGUUGUAAGAGAAGAACGAGUGUGAGAGUGGAAAGUUCACACUGUGACGGUAUCUUACCAGAAAGGGACGGCUAACUACGUG